RNAcentral lists this ribosomal RNA (368 nucleotides) under uncultured bacterium. RNAcentral's name for it is "bacterial SSU rRNA". It matches the Rfam family "Bacterial small subunit ribosomal RNA", at positions 524 to 896 of the family's 1533-position model. The record is from RNAcentral.
UACGGAGGAUUCCAGCGUUUCCGGAUUUUUGGGUUUAAAGGGUGCGUAGGCGGGCUAAUAAGUCUGUGGUGAAAUCACUCAGCUUAACUGAGUAACUGCCAUUGAUACUGUUAAUCUAGAAUAUAAAUGGAGCAGGCGGAAUGAAUCAGGUACAGGUGACUUUCAUAAAUUUGAUUCAAAACACCGAUCGCGAAGGCAGCUUGCAAAGAUAUUAUUGACGCUGAGGCACGAAAGCGUGGGUACCGAACAGGAUUAAAUACCCUGGUAGUCCACGCUGUAAACAAUGAUAACUCGUUGUCGGCAAUACACAGUCGGUGACUAAUGGAAACCAAUAAUUUAUCCACCUGGGGAGUACAAUCGCAAGGUUG